Molecule: ribosomal RNA, 253 nt
Filed under: uncultured bacterium
Lineage: Bacteria
Description: partial 16S ribosomal RNA
Rfam family: Bacterial small subunit ribosomal RNA
Source: RNAcentral
UACGUAGGGUGCAGGCGUUAAUCGGAAUUACUGGGCGUAAAGCGUGCGCAGGCGGCUCCUUAAGUCAGAUGUGAAAUCCCCGGGCUUAACCUGGGAACUGCGUUUGAAACUGAGGAGCUCGAGUGUGGAAGAGGGGGGUGGAAUUCCAGGUGUAGCAGUGAAAUGCGUAGAGAUCUGGAGGAACACCGAUGGCGAAGGCAGCCCCCUGGGCUAACACUGACGCUCAUGCACGAAAGCGUGGGGAGCAAACAGG